CGGGGAGAAGCCACGGAACUGCUGCCAGAGACAGUUGCCCAAGAACCUUGCCGGUAGGCCACGAGCGUCGAGACAGAUGGUGUCUGAGAUCUUCAAGUCAAGAGAAUAGACAGAGAAGGAGGAGAGGACCAAGUCUGGAGACACAGUGAUACUUUGAACCUGGGCAGAGGUAUGAGAGAUGGUAGCGGAGAGAGGCCUAUGUCACAGACGUCCAUGAAUUACGCCUGAAAGUAAACUGGCCACGAUUUCAGCAGCUGGUUUUACUUCUGGGAUGGAGCUGAUUCCAGCAGCUGCAUUUUACGUCUUGGAUGGAGGCCAUCGUGGGGCUUGAGAAUAGCCACAGUUGUGGAGAUGCUAAUCCAGUUAGUGUGCGAUAAAGAGAAGGCUGUGGGCAUUCCCCCUCUGAGAGCUGCACGCGGUGGCCCAUAAAGAAGAUGAAGGACAAUGUAAUCUAAUACAGCUCGACAACUCGUGCCGGGAAGAAGCGUGAUAGUUUGACUCUGAAACCUCACCUACAGGCUCAUGUUGUGAACCCUUGUUUCCCAGCCUGUGGGGCUAUUUUGAGGGUGGUGGGGCAUUCAGAAGGAAGGGCCUGGCUAGUGAAAGUAGCCCAUGGUGGGGAAGGGAGCUUGAAGGUUCUGUUGGCUUCUGGGGUCAUUAUGCCCUCUCUGCCUUCUGCACUGCUCCGUGGGAAGACUUGCUGCCAGAAGCUACUUCUGCCAUGGAGGAGCAGGCUCUACCACCACGUCGCCACCACUCUGAUGGAUGGAGUCUCAGGAUGCAUGUGCCAAACCGCUUGCACAGUGUCUUCUGUUUACCUCCAGCAUCUAGAAGCUUUCAUUGUUGUAGUAGAAGUGAACACCCCGAGGGUCCGCUGAGGAAUACAAGCGGCACAUCUUUUGAAGAGUCUUCGACAUGGCCUUGGGUCCACAGAAGAACACGCCAAUGCUGCUGCUGCAGGUCCGGGUGUAAGUAGAAAAAGACUAUACCUUUGCUGAAGGAAUGAAUAAACGGUCAUGUUGAUUAUUGCCUACAUGGUCUUGGACAGGGCUGGAGGUCUGGCAUAUGUAAAAAAAAAGGCAACAAUUACAUUGUGUGUUUUAAUGAAAGAAAAAUAAGACAGUAUAUUCAAAAAAGUCUU
This is a long non-coding RNA of Alexandromys fortis (reed vole), 1141 nucleotides long. RefSeq lists it as uncharacterized. The record is from RefSeq and is a predicted model, not a curated record. Lineage: Eukaryota; Metazoa; Chordata; Mammalia; Rodentia; Cricetidae. The transcript is spliced from 4 exons.